GAGAGCUGAGAGGUGUCGUUAGAGGGAAAAACACCCUUUGCUUUUUCAGAGGCAGGAUUCUGGACGCACAAAGAGCUGUCUUGAGUCCUGAACUUGGAAAUUUUCAAGCCGCUGGCCUCCGUGAAGUUGCCGUGUGUAAAAGGAGGCUGGUGGUCGUGAAUGGAGCUCAGAACGGUUGUGAUAAUUUUGGUGGGAGGCUGUUAGAAGCACUGGAUUUUUUCCUCAAGAUGUUUCCCCAAACUUCUUCCCUGAGCCUUUUUUUUGGGGGGGGGCCUCUACCUCUGUAUCAUAAGGAGCUAACUUUAAUACAGGUCUUGUGAAUGAAAGCGGAUUGAUUUAAAGCUCUCAAGACACAGCGGGUGGGGAGGCAGAGGGUUUGAAUGUAUUGGGGUCCGUUAGGAUGGGGUGAGUGCUCUGGGCUGUGAGAAUUACCCCAGUGUCCAGGGUACUUCAUUGCGUUGGGUGGCUGAGGAGCAAUGAAAUCAAGAUGCCAGGGCCCAAGGAGCGUGUGCCUUCAGGGGCUGCUGAGGGAACCAGGAGGAAGCGCUGAGAGAUGGAGUCAGAGCAGAGGGUCAGCAGGCCGCACCACAGCACUGGCAGAGACCACGUGUACCUGCCUGGCAGCACACCCAGACUCGGGGGUGGAGUUGCAGGAGUGUCGGAACACUCAGUACCUGCUCACAGACCUGGGGCUGCUUACAGGGUGCCUCUAACACUCUGUCCCAAGUCACCUCACCUCAGGGAGGGACAGAGCUGUGCCUUCAGCACCCGAUGGGCAUUUCUGGCCUGCCUGGGUGGCCCAGGGCCAGAGAGUGUGACGGGUUCUCUGGGCAAAACUCUGGUCUGCACAGACCUGGGGCACAAGCCAGCAAGAUGUCUUCCUCCUCUUCCUCUCAGCACUGAAAUCCACUCUUGGGUGGGAGUAUGGAUUCUUCACUGUCACCCUGGAUACUCAACCUUCACGACACAAGCCCACACCCUGAAAUCAAAGGCCCAGCUCUGUAAGUCACUUCAGCCGGCUCUGAAUCAAUCGGCACCCUUCAGCCCUGGGACCCAGAUAGAAACCAAGGACCACCCAGGCUUGAUUCAUCUUACCUAGUUGCAGGAGCUUCCUUGGAACAGGUGUCUGG
Molecule: long non-coding RNA, 1130 nt
Filed under: Sus scrofa (pig)
Lineage: Eukaryota; Metazoa; Chordata; Mammalia; Artiodactyla; Suidae
Description: lncRNA (ENSSSCG00030009077.1)
Source: RNAcentral